CUCAUGACGGACGCUUCGGUUGAAGUCACGAGUGGAAAGCGGCGGACGGGUGAGUAACGCGUAGGCAACCUGCCCUUUGCAGAGGGAUAGCCUCGGGAAACCGGGAUUAAAACCUCAUAAUACCGCAGUGAGACAUCUCACGGCGGUCAAAGAUUUAUCGGCAAAGGAUGGGCCUGCGUCUGAUUAGUUAGUUGGUGGGGUAACGGCCUACCAAGGCGACGAUCAGUAGCCGACCUGAGAGGGUGAUCGGCCACAUUGGAACUGAGACACGGUCCAAACUCC
This 282-nucleotide ribosomal RNA is filed under the name uncultured Anaerovorax sp. RNAcentral's name for it is "partial 16S ribosomal RNA". It matches the Rfam family "Bacterial small subunit ribosomal RNA", at positions 59 to 339 of the family's 1533-position model. Lineage: Bacteria; Bacillati; Bacillota; Clostridia; Peptostreptococcales; Anaerovoracaceae. The record is from RNAcentral.